AAUGGCCUAACGGCUGAACCAGCAACUUGGAAGAAUGUAGGUGUAUUAAUAUUAAUUAAUGCAAUAACGAUUCUAUCGUAUAAAAUUCUAAAUAGAUUAAUGAUAAUGACUAUUAUCUGUUUAUAAGUCUUGACCAAAUUGCGUGCCAGCAGUCGCGGUAAUACGUAGAAGACUAGUGUUAGUCAUCUUUAUUAGGUUUAAAGGGUACCUAGACGGUAAAUUAAACCUUAACGGGUACUUUUUUACUAGAGUUUUAUAUGAGAAGGGGAGUAUCCUUGAAGUAAUGUUAUAAUAUUUUAAUAACAAGGAGACUGGUAAAGGCGAAGGCUGCCUUCUAUUAAAAACUGACGUUGAGGGACGAAGGCUUGGGUAGCGAGAAGGAUUAGAUACCCUAGUAGUCCAAGCAGAAAAUUAUGAAUGUCAUAAGCUAGAUUAGACUUUACAAUUAAAACACUAAUAUAUUCGGGAUAUUAGAAAUAAAGAGUAGUUUAACUAAAUAGGGUGUUAACUAUAAGGAGGACAACCGCCUAUAGGUAGUCUCUUCUAAUGUAAGUAAAUUUUAGCUUAUAAAUGAAAGUGUAAGCAUUCCACCUCAAGAGUAAAAUGGCAACAUUUAAACUGAAAUCAUUAGACCGUUUCUGAAACCAGUAGUGAAGUAUGUUAGUUAAUUCGAUAGUCCGCGAAAAACCUUACCACAAUUUGUAUAUUAUUAAAUUAUUACACGAGCUGCAUGGCUGUCUUUAGUUAAUGUCGUGAGAUCUGGUUAACUCCUUUAAUUAACGAAAACCCUCACCUUAUUUAUUUACAUAAAGUGGUUCACCGCUAUAUUGGAUUUGAUAAGAGGGAUUAAGACAAGUCAUCAUGGCCAUAAUAUUGU
This 877-nucleotide ribosomal RNA is filed under the name Gymnascella littoralis. RNAcentral describes it as "SSU rRNA". It matches the Rfam family "Bacterial small subunit ribosomal RNA", at positions 370 to 1210 of the family's 1533-position model. The record is from RNAcentral. Lineage: Eukaryota; Fungi; Ascomycota; Eurotiomycetes; Onygenales; Gymnoascaceae.